UCUUCAUGCAUUGUCCAUUAGAUAGCAAGCGAACAAAUGUUCGACCAAUUAUGGACAUUCAUGAUAUUUAUCAUUAUUUCUCACAUCAACUACAUCGCAUCCACCACAUCGUAACUAUUGAACCACAUUGUAACCAUUAAACCACUGCCACCGCAUCAUAGGCACCGAAUCACAUCGCGACCACAACAUUGCAACCACUACAUUACAUGCACCGAAUCUCAUCACAACCACCAACAUUGCAGCCACCACAUCGCAUCCACUGUAUCGUAUCCAUUGUAUCGCAUCCACCGUAUCGCAUCCACCAUAUCGUAUCCACCACAUCGCAUCACAUUCACGAUAACAAAUCUACAACAAAAAGUUGAAAGCUUUUCUAAUGAACCCAGAUAAUCAACGUUGUUUAAGUAAAAACCCCAGAAAUUGAAGAAGCUCUUGCUCUUGUUCCAUAAAGACCUAUUUCUCACGACAAAAGAGUUCUUGAGUUCAAGAAGAAUUAGAAGAUCAUCGAUUUAAUACAAACCUGACCGGAUUGAGAAACAAAGGACUAACAAAGUAAGAAAUAGUGCACAAACCAGAGAUUUGUACUUUAUUUUGUUUUUGUAUUGAAACAGGAGAUAUGUGAUGGUGAAAGUAGUGAAUGAAGAAGUU
Molecule: long non-coding RNA, 645 nt
Filed under: Capsella grandiflora
Lineage: Eukaryota; Viridiplantae; Streptophyta; Magnoliopsida; Brassicales; Brassicaceae
Description: long non-coding RNA (CGRA_LNC001009)
Source: RNAcentral